GUUGAUCCUGCCGGACCCGACUGCUAUUUGGGUGAGGAUAAGCCAUGCGAGUUGAAUGGGAUACCUAAAGUUCCCAUAGCAAACUGCUCAGUAACACAUGAUCAACUUACCCUAUAGAGAAAAAUAACCUCGGGAAACUGAGGAUAAUGUUUCAUAACUGAAUUGGCUUGGAAAAGUUUUUCAGUGAAAGGGAUAAAAUAAAUGGUUUUUAUCUGCUAUAGGAUAGGAUCGUGUUCGAUUAUGGUUGUUGGUGAGGUAAUGGCUCACCAAGCCGAUAAUCGAUAGGGGCCGUGAGAGCGGGAGCCCCGAGAUGGGUACUGAGACAACGACCCAGGCCUUACGAGGCGCAGCAGGCGCGAAACCUCCGCAAUACACGAAAGUGUGACGGGGUUACCCAAAGUGUUCAAUUUUGAACUGUGGUAGGUGAGUAAUGUUCCCUACUAGAAAGGAGAGGGCAAGGCUGGUGCCAGCCGCCGCGGUAAAACCAGCUCUUCAAGUGGUCGGGAUAAUUAUUGGGCUUAAAGUGUCCGUAGCCGGUUUAGUAAGUUCCUGGUAAAAUCGGGUAGCUUAACUAUCUAUAUGCUAGGAAUACUGCUAUACUAGAGGGCGGGAGAGGUCUGAGGUACUACAGGGGUAGGGGUGAAAUCUUAUAAUCCUUGUAGGACCACCAGUGGCGAAGGCGUCAGACUGGAACGCGCCUGACGGUGAGGGACGAAAGCCAGGGGAGCGAACCGGAUUAGAUACCCGGGUAGUCCUGGCCGUAAACGAUGCAUACUAGGUGAUGGCACGGCCAUGAGCCGUGUCAGUGCCGUAGGGAAACCGUUAAGUGUGCCGCCUGGGAAGUACGGUCGCAAGGCUAAAACUUAAAGGAAUUGGUGGGGGAGCACCACAAGGGGUGAAGCCUGCGGGUUCAAUUGGAUUCAACGCCGGAAUCACUAGUGCGGCCGCCU
Molecule: ribosomal RNA, 950 nt
Filed under: uncultured archaeon
Lineage: Archaea
Description: bacterial SSU rRNA
Rfam family: Archaeal small subunit ribosomal RNA
Source: RNAcentral